Long non-coding RNA from Athalia rosae (coleseed sawfly), 3744 nucleotides. RefSeq lists it as uncharacterized. The transcript is spliced from 4 exons. The record is from RefSeq and is a predicted model, not a curated record. Lineage: Eukaryota; Metazoa; Arthropoda; Insecta; Hymenoptera; Athaliidae.
GUAGUCGGUAUAGACGUCUGUAAAGAUUAGGAUCAGAAUAAAAAGUCUGUAUUGGAAUAUUAUCAGUAUCCUACGAACACGUCAUUUAUAUUUACAAUAGCGUUUAACUCGUUAGGCGCCAUCCCGAUUAAUGAUUAAAAAAAAAAGAUGAGCAAAAUAUAAUUCGAAACGAGAAUUUUAUUUGAUUAUUUUUCUUUCAUUUUUUUCUCAUCGAAAUAAUCUGAGCGUUUGUCAUGUUCACAACGAAAAAUUCAAAAAUGUGGGGACAAAAAUACCCGUAUAGAAAUCGAAAGAUCAUCGUUCCUUAAUGAAACCCAAACGAAAAAAUCCUAUGCGAAACUGGGACCGGGAUCGUGAACUUUCCAUUAAAAAAGAGAAGAAAAAAAACGCAACCCACUAAUUCGUUAAAUCAUCAACUAAUUUCGCUAUAUUGUUUGACGUCUCACUUCUAACAGAACUAAAAAUAUCCUCUAACAAUAUUGUUCGAAGUCUGAAGUCAACAAAAAUCACGUGCAAGACUAUCUUCCAUUUACCUUAAACAUUACCAUGCAGCAUGUGUCCAGCAGCAGAGAACACGCGUCGGCAGUAAAGAUAAGAGAAAUGAAAAAUCAAAUAGAAAAAAAAAGUAACCAAAAACUUUCCUGUACAUUAAUCUCACGGAUUGGAAAAAAAAUUUUUACGAUCGUUAAACGCUAAGAUUUUUGUCAAGCAUUGUACCAAUAUAUUCACACCUUAGUUGGUACUGAUUACUCAACACCUUUGUGUAAUGUAACGAGGUGUUAACAAAAUAGAAAGAAAAAAUAUAAUCAAAUCAACAAUUGACGAAAAUCAUCCUCGGAAUGAAAUAUGUGCAACCAGGUGAUGCUACGAGCACGUACGAUACGCGGUGUUGCUACAGACUACAAGUUUCCUGUUGCAGAAAACUUAUGAAUUCUCUACAGGCGUUUUUCGGAUGUUGAACUCGAUAUUUCCAGGAAGCCAAAGCGCAUCGUUCGGAUACUCGGCCUUUAAAAACAUACAGAAUGAGCCGUUGAAACGCUGUCGGAUGUCGAUUGAUCGGCUAUGGUCGGUCUAAUCCUGUAGCAAUAAAUAAUACAUCUAGGAUUUUACGUGCGUUUCUGGUAAUGGUCCAGAAAGUCAAAGAGAUGAAGAAACAAAAUCCCCGAAUAUGAAUUCCAACUAAUCCGCGGUGUGAACUUACAAUCAUCAUCACCAUGUGCUUUUCCAAGAGAUUGAAUCAAACGCGAGCCCGCGGUAACGUGUAUGGAAAUACAAAAGCGGUUUUGAAAUUUAUCUCUUCAUACGAAUAUUUACAUUAUCGAGAAUUUCAUCGUGGGAUUUGGGAAAAAAAAAUUUCUACGUAUAUUCGAUCCACUGCACAAAGACACCAGCGUUCGGAAGGUCUGCGCAUUAAGAUUCUGGCUCCGGUUUGCGGCCGGAGGGAGGCCUGCAGCCGAGGCUGGGAAUCUUAUGUCAAAUUUAAACGCAAGGGUGUUCCUUGAAGGACCCACUGCGAAACAAAGUUCAGCCGCCAGCCCUACAACGUUAAUUUUAAAAACGAAUCUAUAGCUGCGGAACGAAUAACACAGGACACACGAUGGGUGGUCGAGAACCUGAUCACGGGUGCCCUGAAUUGAAAUUAAAUAGGAAAACAAAAACGAAAAAUAAAGUAGUCUCGUCUAAUUGAAAAUGUAUAUCGCACGUAUACACGUUAUUGAUAUUUUCAUUGACGUCAACGAUGAAAUAAGGUUAAAAACAUAUAAAAUGUAUAGGUGAUGUAAACUGAGCAUACUUUACAUACAUGUCGCACAUCGUGACUACAAUUACAACUGAUCUUUCGUUUCUAAUCUACGCGUACGGAUGCUAAUAUUUGUUGAAUGGAACCAGACUAUUUUCACAUGCUUUGAAUUUUGAUUUUAUUCGCCUACCUAUAUGAUCUACAGGGAAAGACCUUUCGUUGCAACGUCAGAGGAACGAUCAGGAUCCAUGGAAAUAAAAAAGAUCAGGUUCGUCGAUUGGAAAAUCGUCCGCGACGAUAUACGAUUUGAAAUUUCAUACCGGUAACGCGUGGAACGCGUUGCAAUUUCUUUGAAAGAAUUGCGUUUUCAUUCGAUUCGCAUGCGAUCAUUUGUCAUGUUUCAAAUAUAUGUGUGCCCCAUACGUGGACUCUGUAUGCGAACCAUAAAAUAUUGAGGAUCAAUUUUUCAUAAAGCCGACAUAGUCGCGUGUAAGAAGACCUUGCGUCAAUUUAUCCCGAGCAAGUGAAGCGUUAUUAAAAUGAAAUUUAUUUGACAUGAUUACGAUUUCUCUUUGCGAUACUUGUUCGGCUGGACCAAACGCGCGACCGCCAGCUGCGUAGUAGAAAGAAAAAUAAAAAAAUAGUCGCGAUGCAAGUUCAACCGUUAUUUUCGCAUAUAAAUGAGUGUUAACUCAUUUUAACCGCGUGUCGUAAGUUCGUUACCAUCAUAUUUCGAAAGAAUUGAUCAAGUUUGAUAAUUAUCGUGACCGAUUACAAUAAGAUUGGUGAUUAUCACCGUGACGAUCUGCACUUUUUUAACCGACGGAAAUAUAAUUACACCGUGAUCGGUUCAGUUCACUCUUUUGGCAAGUCAUUCUUGAAUAAUUAAUUGUAUGAUUUCGUACAAUAGAUUUCCAAUUUUCCAAUCAAAGUCAAUGCAGUACAGUCAUAGAUAUAUUGAAAUGGUACAGUUUUAGAACUCAUACUUCACCAAAUAACGUACGUCGAUGUCUAUUUUUUUAAUUUAGUUAUUUAUUCGUCUUUUUUUUUUGUUCUUCCUUUUCGCCAUGAUUCAGUUGAGAAUUGACAAUUCUCACCACGAAAUAGAAACCACGUUCAAACCGAUCUAAUGCCAACGACGAUUAUGCGGUUGCACUCAGAAUUUAAUAACCGUGUGAAUUGUGUAUCCCCAUUGGAAAUUUUUUCACCUUAACAAAUGUCAGUAUAAGGGCAUGUUCUCUCUGAAAACUUGGAUGUAUGUACUUUCAUGCACAAAAAACAGAUGAACGAACAAGUUCUGAAUUUAGAAAUUCGAAACGGAUCAGAUUCCUCUGCAACUUCGAUUCGUUGUGAUACAGCUUAUCGCGAAAUAGCAUCUUGGUUCAGCGACUUAUACACGAGAAACGAAACAAAUCAAAACGGGAAUUCAAUUCUAUCUCUUUCUCUCACAGUCUGGGACGUAGCCGCGACUUGACUCUAACCGUUUUAAGACGUAUAAUAAACCAAUAAAACGUGACUCAACUUAUUCAAUAACCAUGUAAUUCAUCGUAUAGGAAAUGAAUUAUUUAAAUACUGGCCCCUUUUACCCCCGAACAAUAUGGCGCAUCUAUUUUUCGCUCAUAUCUCUGGAGAUUAAACAGUUCUAAUUUACAAUUAACCGCCUGCGGCACCUGAUUAUACAAGUUUUCCUUUUCUUUAUCGUAUUUUUCUAGCGUUGAAACAUCGGUAUUCCCUGAUCGGUUAAUCUUGACAUUUUGUUCGUCUGGUUAUUCGUGAACUUGACUUUGCCUAAGCCAGUUUGUCGCGCACUUCAUUGGAAUUAUCGGUAGUUAUGCGGACUUGAUGCAUUCCCGUUCUCAUACGUUGAUAUUUAUUCGUCCUCGUUCCCGAUUUGACUGCAGUACCAGCACCACGUGCAUAUAAUCAUUUCAGUUUCUGAUUUCAACGAUUUCACAACGUUUGAAAUAUGUAAUAAAUACACGAAUAAAUAAAUUACAAAGAGAAUU